Molecule: ribosomal RNA, 477 nt
Filed under: uncultured bacterium
Lineage: Bacteria
Description: partial 16S ribosomal RNA
Rfam family: Bacterial small subunit ribosomal RNA
Source: RNAcentral
GAUCAACGCUGGCGGCGUGCAUAACACAUGCAAGUCGAACGAUGAAGAUUAAAAGAUUUCUUCGGAAUGAACUUAAUUGGAUUAGUGGCGGACGGGUGAGUAACGCGUGAGUAACCUGCCUUGUACAAGGGGAUAGCCGUUGGAAACGACGAAUAAUACCCUAUGACAUCAAAUAAUCGCAUGAUAAUUUGAUCAAAGAUUUAUCGGUAUAAGAUGGACUCGCGUCUGAUUAGCUAGUUGGUAGAGUAAAAGCCUACCAAGGCAACGAUCAGUAGCCGGCUUGAGAGAGUGUACGGCCACAUUGAGACUGAGACACGGCCCAGACGCCUGCGAGAGGCAGCAGUGGGGAAUUUUGCACAAUGGGGGAAACCCUGAUGCAGCGACGCCGCGUGAUUGAGAAUGCCUUCGGGUUGUAAAAAUCUUUUGUAUGGGAAGAAAAUGACAGUACCAUACGAAUAAGGACCGGCUAAUUACGUG